Molecule: long non-coding RNA, 7806 nt
Organism: Mustela erminea (ermine)
Lineage: Eukaryota; Metazoa; Chordata; Mammalia; Carnivora; Mustelidae
Exons: 2
Source: RefSeq, a predicted model, not a curated record
UGCGGGGUAGGCGCGUCUGGCCCGGGGUCUCCGGAGCUUGGGGUAGGAGGACCUGCCCGCCGCGCGGCGCUCCCGCCAGCCUGGCGUGGGUGGCUCACGGGACCCACCCUCCUUCCGGGAGCACGUUGGAGUGGGGUGGGGCAGGGCGGGGUGGGCUCCAGAUUCCUGGAGCACGCAGAGGGGCGCGCUUUGCACCCCACGCCUUCUCACGGAGCCCCGUCCCUCUGGCAACAAACUAGCAAAAAAGUUAGGGGGCAGGGCUUGAGGACGUCCCCCCCCGCAGACUGUUCCCAGCUCUGCUAUGCGAAGUCUUCCUGCUUGGCGGAGGUUUUGGGGAAAGCCAGGGGUCCGUGGCGGCCGGUGGGCCCACUGUAAGCGGACACUGGCGGCGUGGCCCGGGUUUGGGGCCUCCGGCCCUGCCCGCCCGAUAUAGCGGGUGAUUCAGGGCUCAGGCACGCACUGGCGGGGGCUGCGCCAAGCGAGGGCAGCGACCGCCAGCACACGCCCCCGGACCCGCAUGGGCCUCGGCAGCCCCCGCGUCCUCGGGCUGAGAGCUGCCCCGAGCCUCUGGGCACUUUCAGGCCCUUGGGGACGCAGGCAGCGCUCCCGACCCCUCUCUGCUAGAUGGAAGAAGGCGCGGGGGUUGUGGGGGGUGAUUGGGGAGGGGAGGUGGGGUGCAACGUAAGAAGUGCAAGCGGGGUUGGUGGGGCAAAGCGGACAGUCCCUGUCGGGCCCGACGAUCCAGGCGCAGGAAUCACCCUGCUGGCCUGCGGGACAGCGGAGCAGCGGGCAGACAGGCGGGAGGAGGCUGGCACGCGCCAGGCUCCGCCCAGGCCGCUUGUUGCUUCCUUUGCUCUUCUACCGGUUUUGCUCGGAUAAAAAUGCCAUUUUUGUAUCCUGACCGCAAAUAAACCUGGAAAUCUCAGUGUUGCUGGUCCUCCCCGCUCCCUCCUCCCCAAUCACAUUAGAAGAGGCUGAGGGCUUGGUGAUCUUUGGACGGGUGGGAAUUUGCCCAGCCUCUCCUGCGGUCUUCUUCCCACUGGCCUGGUUGACGUUCCCACCCCAAGGAGGUGAGAUCGGGGGUGAAGGCGUUAGUCUAUGCUCCCUCAGCCCCUUCCUCUCCCUAUAGAAGGGAAUGGAAAGAAAAGGAAGGCUACAUUUCCCACACCCUCUAGGUGAGAGAACCUGUCAGGGAGCUGUGGUUUCUCUUACUGCACCAAGCUGGAUUCUGAGUGACCAUCUGGGAUUCAGUGAGGUCCUUAACUGGGUGUCUCUAGGAGGAACUAAGAGAGAUGCAGAUUAGGACAAGUGUUUGGACAGUAGACAAAGGGAGAUGGGUGAACUUGUAUCCAUCCAAGGAGAUGGUGUGGGACAGAUACAGAACUGGCACUGUCCCCUUCCUCAUGCCCAGAGACUCCUCCCAAGUGGCGCUAGAAGUUCCCCCAUCAGCCCAUAUAGCACUAUCUGGUAGAAAUGUUUGUCUAGAGCUGUUUCACUUAAUCUAAAUGCUUGGAAGACUGUAUGUGAGAGAGAUUUUAAAAGAAAUAUGAUUAGUCCCAGGGAAGGGGGUGUCACCAAGGGAAGAACACUCAGGGGUCUGGGACCACAGCUGCCAGCUCUUUUCUCCACAGCCUCGUGUAUUAGAGGGUUGCCACGAAGGGCUUGGAUAGGUUCCUGUCUUCACUCUAAAUAUCCCAGACCAUAGAACGUGGGAAAGUUCUCAGACUCGAGGUAAACCUAUGUCAAAGGUAGAGAUGCUGAGAGAAGGAUGGGUCCUUAGGAAGCAAAACUCCUGUGCAGAGGCCAGUGGCAUCUCUGUUACUCCCGCUCAGUAGCUGGCAGGGAUCUGUCUGUCCAGUGUCUGUGGGAGUGGGGGGUGAGGUCUAAUCACAGCCUGGAGGUAGAAAGAAUGGCUCAAGCUGGGGACCCUGUGCCUCUAAACCACAGGGCAACUAAGUAACACUGUUCCAACCUGGAGAGGAGCUCAGAGGCAAGGAAAAGAUUCCAGCAACAGGGGUGGGGCUCAGGGAAGCAGCACUUCCCUGAGAUGCAGAGCAGAUGUCCAGGUAAGGGGUGAGGGUGUGGGGUACUCAGCAGCUAAAGAAAGAGCAGAGGCUGCUCCUUUCUGAGGUCUUCAGGCCUGGGAAGAGAAGGAGGUAAAAAUAGCUCUGCGCCUUGGCAGACCUAAUAGGGAAGAUUGGGGGCGGCAGCAUUUAUGGUAGUCAGGCUGAGGGGCAGGAUGCUUGGGUGGCCAGGCAGAGAGAGAGAGAGAGAUUUGGAGAAAGGCCUCCUGGGAGAAUGUGAGUUUUCCAGAGUGGGAACAGGGGAGUGGAUACUGCAUUCCCCGCUGCAGAUGUGGGAGGUGAUGAUGCAGCAAUGGGGGCAGGGUGGAAGGGAGAAUGAAAGGCCAGGAAGGCCCCAGCUGUGGGAUCAGGCCACCUGCCCCCCCAUACCUUUUUCCUGGGGGGGAUAAAGAAGAGAAUCCCUUGUGUGGCCUCACCCCAUAUUCAAGGAACUGUUAGACAUAAUGAUUCCACAGGUUAAGUUUGUAUUCGAUCUCCCUGGCUCCCCCAUGAAAUUUAGCACCUCCCACCCCAGGAUAUCAGAGCCCUCACCUUGAACCCACUUCUGAGUCAUUACUGUCCUCUGGCAUUUCCCUAUCCCCUAAUAAAAACUAGCAGUUUGACAUCCCAUCCUAUCAGGGUGAUACCUAACUAGGCCACAUCCAGUGAAGGAGAAGAACGAAAUCUACUAGUAGCGAAGGGUCAGUGGACUGAGAACUGACUGCUGGGAAGAUCAGGCAGAUCCUGGGCACUGCACAAACGGGAGGGGCACUGAUCAUUAAAGAUUCGGUUCUUCCAGAUAACGAUUUGGAUAUUACUAGUGUUCUUUUAGAAUGCAGAAAAGGGGGCUAAAAUGGAAAGAAACUCUUUCUGGAGCAGUUGUGAUGAGACAUGAUCUCCACAAGGACCCUUCGGACCUGCUUCCAGUGCUUGAUGAAAGGACCAGGAAGCAUUUAAGGGAUUAAGGACGUUCAGGCUUUAAAAACAAGGGCACCAAGGCUGGAAUGAGGGCUUGCUGGCUUUUCCUCCCCAAAUCCUAGCCUAACCCCUAUAGCUCUUUACUGGACUCAAGGCAAAUGAGGGCUCUCUGUUCCAGAACUCCAAACUUUUGUUCCCAAAUAUUCCAAUGUGAGGCUCUUGCCCCGCUCAGUUCCUGAGCCUAGUGGCCAUGGAAAGAGUGCUUACCACAUCCUUCCUCUGAAACGCUGAGAUUUUCCUGGUCAUUGGAUCCAAAGCAGGGAGGAUACUAUUAGGGGUAAUCCUAAGACUAAAGGAAAUAAUACUCCUCCCUCUGAUUUUUUUUUUUUUAAAUAACUAAAGUCUGACUAUUAUAAAGGUCAAAAUCAAAAAGGGAUGCAAUGGCACAAAAUAAGCUACUGAUAUAGAGAAGUGAGAGGAUAUUGUUGCUAGGCAACCAACCUCAGAGAUGAGUAGUGGUUUGUUCCAUUUCACUGAAGCAUACCAUGUGCAUGUUUCAUUAUUCUGCCAUUACAGAUUUUUUUGAGCUGGAAGAUGCUUCAGCGAUAAUCAGCUUAAGCUCCUUCAUUCUAUAGCUGGGGAAGUGGAGGCCCAAAGAGGGGAACUUACUUGCCUACUGUCACUCAAGUCAGUGGGGGGUCAAAGCUGGGACUAGAACCCAGGUGUACCCCUUCUUCUGCUAAAUUCUCUGCUCCCCACUUCCUCCCUCCAUUCCCGGGCUCUGCGGAGAAACCAGGGCAGAGGUUAUUCCAACAGUGGGUUUGUUCUGGCUCCGUCAUUCUCUAAGGGAGAUAGUUGCACCAUCCUGGCACUUGGGCUGCUGUCUGAGUACAUGUGUGCGUGUGCAUGUGUGUGUACACGUGAGGGUGCAAUCAACAUUACUAAGAGUAGCUAAGGUUGGUGGCCAUUAGUUGCUUAGUCUCCUAGUACUGAAGCAGAGGCAAUGGCCGAUGACAAAGGACCAAUGACAGUGAGGGAGGAGGGAGGGGUACAGAGAGUAAAGCAUAGAGCUAUCCCCCUGGCAUAGGCUCUGCAGCUGGCUAUGAGAGGACCAUGUUGGCUUUCUCCUUGGCCUUCCUUCUCCUUAUACUCCACAGGGAAGGUUGGCACCUGCUACUUUGUGUUUUUGUGGCUGCAGGCUUUUACCCACCACUGCUGUCACUGGAGUCUGGUAGUGCCCCUAACCAUCUCUCUCCCUGACUUCUCAUGAUGGUCCAAGGCAAGAGUGGCAGCUCAGCCCCUCAGGAGGGAGAAUGGGAGCUGCUGCUAGGUCUUCCAGGAUGCAAGCCCAGCUGUCAUAAAAAGAGCUUGGCUUUUGUUCCUGAUUUCUCUGAGUAUCUUGGUGUCUGCUAUCCCAGGCAUGUGUAGGGGGAGGAGCGGCAAGGAAGGCCAGAGGUGGGGACAUGGCCAAAGGGAAACAACCAGGAAGUCCCUCUUCCACGCCUCUACCUCUCCUUAUCCUGGGUGGCACCCAGUGCCCACCCUGCCCUGGGGAAAUAAUAAGAACUAGGACUCUGAAGACAGUAGAGUUGUUCACCUACUUGCUUUCUUUUUCACUUCUCAGAGCCUCUCCGGCUAGAGUCGGUAACUGACCGCUUAGAGAGCCCCUUCUACGUUGCAGCAGCCUCUUACUCCCGCACUCCAGCCCUCAACAGCAUCAUCCCAUGACUAUGGCUUGGUAGGGACAGAAGGCAGAAGGCUCAGGAUGAGAGUGGGGAAGAUUCUAGAGGGAAGAAGAGAGGAGCUCUGGGAAGAAGAGAGGAGCUCUGUUUAAACUGUUUAUUAAACAUGGGCCUGGGUUUGUCACACUUUCAUCCCCGGGGCCCUCUUGAUGAAGCAUAUAAAAUAUGGUUCCUUUCCAGCCUGAUGCAUGCCAUAUUCCCUUCCCCUACUCACCAACUCCAAUUCUGCAUGCCCACUAAGGCCUCUUUCUCUCAACCGCAUCCGUACCCAACUCAAGCCCCAUUUACACCCCUUUUCCUCAUCUUAGCCCGAGAAGAAGCUGAAAGCACCCUCUGACCUGGCCACACCCAAGAUCGUGCCUUUUGACCUUCUGCCUGAGACUGAGCCCAUUGACCUGAAGCCUGAGACAGUGCCUGAGCUCCCACCCUUUGACCAGACGCCUAGGACACUGCCCUAUUACCCAGAGCCUGUGUCUCUGCCCACCCCAGAGAAGCCGACAGCCGGUGGGGGCGCUUAGGGUCUCUUGGGUGACACGGCGCAGUGGGCAUGGGCCGUCACUUCAGUCCACCACCAGCUCACUUCUUAGUGGUGGUCAGUAUUGGGAUGAGAGGCCUCUUUCAAGCCCUGGGUUGGUGGUGGAUAUGGUGAAAACACUCUCGCAGUACGCAGAGUUCAGGCAAAUGUGGUGUGUGCAAUGGGGUGGGAAGCGAAGGGACGGGGCCCUCCCCCACCUCUGGGUUUCUGUCUUAAUAGUAGACGCUCCAAACCCCAUAUUGGAGCUGCAGCCCGUGCUGUCCUGCAUGAAAUUGCAUGAAACUGUGCCAUGGCAUCUGAUUCUCCUUCCUGUUCCCCUUCUGCCUCCUCCUCAGGGACAGGCCAGUUUGGCUCAAAGCUUCUUUGGAGAGGGCCCUCAUGAGGCCCAGGCCUGGGGUCUGUUCUGUGCCCCGUCCACCCCCUCCCUGGAGCUGAGGAAAACAUUUAAACUUAUUUUUUCCAAUUUUUUUUAGAAAGUGUUUUGCAAAGGGAUCCCUUAUGUUUGCCAGAUCCUGCCUUGGGUGGGGCACCCAAAAGCUGCCAACUUGGAGAGGCCGGAAGGGGGGACAUUUUAGCUGGCUCUGGCUUGGAUCCUCUGGCUUCCCUAUAGCACAAAAGGGUUUCCUCCAACUUUUUUUCCUUUUCCAAAAUCAUCCUCCUAAGGAAUCCUUUUAAACAUUUUCCCUAACUGUCCCCUCCUCCACGAAAUUUUAAUGCUACAGAUAUACUAUCUAUCUACAUAUGUAUUGGGACUCUUUGGCACUACAAACUACUGGGAUAUCUAAAUUCACCUCUCCCCUCAAGAAUUAAUUUCCACCCUCUUGGGGGCAACAUGAAUCCCUAACAAUCCUGAGAUUUUAUGACUUUCCCUCGUUUCUACCUCUCCCCAAGUCUUGCCCCUCUUCUAACUUACUCUCUGAGCAGAUCCUGGGUCUCUGAAUGCCCUCUCCAGAGUCUUCUCUGGCUAGUCCCAGGCGGUAGUUGGGGACAGAGCGUAAAGUCCAGAGAGUCUCCUGGGGUGCCUGGCUGGCUCAGUCAGUAGAGCCUGUGACUCCUGAUCUCAGGGUCAUGAGGUUGAGCCCCACAUUGGAUAUAGAACUUACUUAAAAAAAAAAAAAAAAAAAAAAAGAUUAAAGAAAAGAAAAAAAAGGAAAGAAAGGCUCCUACUUAAAGAGUCAUAUGACAUUGUCCCUUCUCCCUGACAAAUGUGAAAUGCCUGGCCAAGGACUAGGCACAUAGUAGGUGCUCGAUUAAAUUAUAAUCAUAUUAAAAUCUUCUUCCUAGACCAGAGGAUCUUCAGUUUAUAAAGCAGAGUUGGGCAGUGGAGCUGAUGGGGCGGGAAGUUUCCCUGGGGCUCCUGAAACCCAUCUUGGACUGGUGCCUUCCUGGGUUGGAGAACUGUGUGUGCUUGGUUGGGGGGAGGGGAAGCUGUGCAUGCUUUUGCUCAGACCUGGUCAUUAAAGGUAACUCUGGAAACCAAGCCUGUCGGGAGUGGUGGUUUUCUUUAAUAAAAGCGUGAAAACAGAACAAGCAGAGCCACCCCCUGAGGCCCCUCCUUUGGUGUAGGAGCUCUGCCAGGGCAGCAGGGGUGGGACAAGGGUGCCUGGCCAUUGUGCCCAGGGUAGGGGGAGGUGCUUUGGAAUUGUGUUGGUGGUUGCUGUAGCAACAGGCUGAUGGGGUGGACCCAAAACAGCACUCCAAGCCUAUGAGUCAUAGGGGAAACCUGGCUUGGAAAGGGGGAGAAAAGAGAAAAUCCAUUAAUGGAGGAAAAAAGCUAAAAUCAUAGUGGUAUACCCUCUGCAGAGCCAGUCUACUGAACGUUGUCCAGGGAGUUAGGUCAAGUUAUUUCUUCCCCCAUCCCCUGACUUUCCACCAAAGCAGCUCUUCUGGUGUAAGCUAUCACUCUGGGGGGAACCUACAAUGAAUGGUGUUAAUAUAUUUUCAUAUAACUUUCUGGACUGGGAGAGACACCUCCAAAUCCAGGAAUAAACCCCCUUCACUGGGAUUGUUCCCUGAUGUUGUAUUUGAGACCUUUCAACAAGAAUUAGGAAGAUGGGAUUGGCUACAAGAGGUCCGCGACUCUGUCCUUAGCCCCGUUCAAGCUCAGCUGGCAAACACUUUUAAUUUAGGAAGCCAGAGGCCAGGAAAACCAGUCAGCUCAGCCAUUAAGGGAUGGGGUGGGGCAGGGGUGAGGGGGCGGUGGUAAGGGGAGGCAUCAGGGAUGUUGGGGGUGGGGCAGGGGGACAAUGUCGAUUUGUUUUCCAGCAGCUGGGACUAUUUCCUUACUAUUCCCCCCCUAUCACCCUAAUCCUUCCCUAGCCCAUCCACAUUGUCUGAGUUUAGUGAAAGGAGGGGUUCUCUACUAUCCUUUGGUGGAGCGUGUGUGGGGUUUUAGUCAGAGAGUCUUUGAAGAAGAUCAGAGCUGAAAUUUUUUUGAUACUGGGGUUGCAGGUAAAUUCUGGGUGAAGAAGUAGCAGAGAGCUUAGAUCAUGGAGAGUCCUAAAAUGGUGUGUAAGAGAGAGGACUUGAGUAGCAGGCAGAAAGACUG